UUGAAGGAUUUAAAGAUUGGGCUUUAUUUUUAACUCCUCUCCCAAUGGCAGGGACUCACUGGUGCGGACUUAGGAAGUCAACUGGAAGUUGGACUGGGCUGUGGAAACCCAGGGGAGUGAAACAGCCUGCAGUUGGGGAAGGACGAAGCUUGGAGGAAAUGCCUGCUGGCCUCUCCGAGUUCCACCCGCCUGACUCUCCCGGCUGUGAGUCCCCAGAGGACGAUGGCCAUGCUAAUCCACUGGGUGACCAAUGCCCCAGCACAAGCAUGGCCCAGGCUUCUUUGGGAGACAACAAAAGAUGGAAACAACGCAAAUGUCCAUUAACUGGAAAAUGGGUAAACAAACUGGGCUCAACCACACAAUGGAAUACUAGUCCGCAAUAAAAAGUAGCAUGUUACUGAAACACACACCAGCAUGGAUGGAUCUCAAAAAUAUACCGAGGGAAUGAAGCCGGAGACAAAUCACAUGAUUCCAAUGACAUGAAAGCCUGGAAACUAAACUAUGGUGAUAGAAAGCAGAUCCGUGGUUACCAGAGGGGUAAGGGGGAUCCACUGUGCAGGGGCACAAGGGAACUUUCUGAGUUGAUCUAAAUGUUCUGUAUCUUGACUAUGCUGGUGGUUACACAGGU
Kogia breviceps (pygmy sperm whale) is the source of this 628-nucleotide non-coding RNA. The record is from RefSeq and is a predicted model, not a curated record. NCBI's taxonomy places the organism in Eukaryota, Metazoa, Chordata, Mammalia, Artiodactyla, Physeteridae.